RNAcentral lists this transfer RNA (72 nucleotides) under Nippostrongylus brasiliensis. It matches the Rfam family "tRNA". From Rfam's summary of the family: Transfer RNA (tRNA) molecules are approximately 80 nucleotides in length. The record is from Rfam by way of RNAcentral. Lineage: Eukaryota; Metazoa; Nematoda; Chromadorea; Rhabditida; Heligmosomidae.
ACAUCGGUAGCACACUGGUCAGUGAAGUCUGUCGGAAACAGAAAGACGCGGGUUCAAUUCCUGUCCGAUGUC